RNAcentral lists this non-coding RNA (95 nucleotides) under bovine gut metagenome. RNAcentral describes it as "THF riboswitch". It matches the Rfam family "THF (Tetrahydrofolate) riboswitch aptamer". From Rfam's summary of the family: THF riboswitch presents a pseudoknot that joins P1-P2 and the loop of P3 and two THF binding. The record is from RNAcentral.
GCAGAGUAGGAAACCGUGCGUUAAGUGCCGCAGGGACGGGGAGUUGCCCGGCGGACGAAGGCUUUGCCCGCGGUACGGUUUUCGCAUCCCGCUGC